GGAGCGCACAGGGAACAGCCCUCGGCCCCGCUGCGGGGAGCUACACUGCACCGGGGCUGGUGCUGAGCUCGGGUGGCACGGCAGUGCAGGUGUUGUUGUUGGCGUUGGCGUUACGGCGGGGCAGGCUGGGGGUCAGCGUGGCACCGUCGCUGGGACAGCCGUGCUGCAGCAGGAUGUCGAUGCACUCCUGGCUGCCCGCGCGCCGUGCGUAGGCCAACGGGGUCAGACCCCGGGCAUCCCGACUCUUCACAUCCACCCCGUACCAGAUGAGCAGCUGCGUGAAGACAACGUUGGCCAUGGCGCAGGAGAGGUGCAGCGCCGUGCGCCCGUCGCCGUCCCCGUAGGUCUCGUUGACCUCCUCCUUGGUGCCGUGUGCCAGCAGUGUCACCACCAGGCGCAGGUCGUCCUC
RNAcentral lists this long non-coding RNA (409 nucleotides) under Gallus gallus (chicken). Lineage: Eukaryota; Metazoa; Chordata; Aves; Galliformes; Phasianidae. The record is from RNAcentral.